Molecule: ribosomal RNA, 186 nt
Filed under: uncultured beta proteobacterium
Lineage: Bacteria; Pseudomonadati; Pseudomonadota; Betaproteobacteria
Description: partial 16S ribosomal RNA
Rfam family: Bacterial small subunit ribosomal RNA
Source: RNAcentral
CGUGCCAGCAGCCGCGGUAAUACGUAGGGUGCGAGCGUUAAUCGGAAUUACUGGGCGUAAAGCGUGCGCAGGCGGCUUUGCAAGACAGAUGUGAAAUCCCCGGGCUCAACCUGGGAACUGCAUUUGUGACUGCAAGGCUAGAGUACGGUAGAGGGGGAUGGAAUUCCGCGUGUAGCAGUGAAAUGC